GACGAACGCUGGCGGCGUGCCUAAUACAUGCAAGUAGAACGCACAGUUUAUACCGUAGCUUGCUACACCAUAGACUGUGAGUUGCGAACGGGUGAGUAACGCGUAGGUAACCUGCCUGGUAGCGGGGGAUAACUAUUGGAAACGAUAGCUAAUACCGCAUAAUAUUGAUUAUUGCAUGAUAAUUAAUUGAAAGGUGCAAUUGCACCACUACCAGAUGGACCUGCGUUGUAUUAGCUAGUAGGUGAGGUAACGGCUCACCUAGGCGACGAUACAUAGCCGACCUGAGGGGGUGGUCGGCCACACUGGGACUGAGACCCGGCCCAGACUCCUACGGGAGGCAGCAGUAGGGAAUCUUCGGCAAUGGACGAAAGUCUGACCGAGCAACGCCGCGUGAGUGAAGAAGGGUUUCGGAUCGUAAAGCUCUGUUGUAAGAGAAGAACGGGUGUGAGAGUGGAAAGUUCACACUGUGACGGUAUCUUACCAGAAAGGGACGGCUAACUACGUG
Molecule: ribosomal RNA, 505 nt
Filed under: uncultured bacterium
Lineage: Bacteria
Description: partial 16S ribosomal RNA
Rfam family: Bacterial small subunit ribosomal RNA
Source: RNAcentral